RNAcentral lists this ribosomal RNA (758 nucleotides) under Pseudomonas parafulva. RNAcentral describes it as "bacterial SSU rRNA". It matches the Rfam family "Bacterial small subunit ribosomal RNA", at positions 83 to 837 of the family's 1533-position model. The record is from RNAcentral. Lineage: Bacteria; Pseudomonadati; Pseudomonadota; Gammaproteobacteria; Pseudomonadales; Pseudomonadaceae.
GCUCUGGAUUCAGCGGCGGACGGGUGAGUAAUGCCUAGGAAUCUGCCUGGUAGUGGGGGACAACGUUUCGAAAGGAACGCUAAUACCGCAUACGUCCUACGGGAGAAAGCAGGGGACCUUCGGGCCUUGCGCUAUCAGAUGAGCCUAGGUCGGAUUAGCUUGUUGGUGAGGUAAUGGCUCACCAAGGCGACGAUCCGUAACUGGUCUGAGAGGAUGAUCAGUCACACUGGAACUGAGACACGGUCCAGACUCCUACGGGAGGCAGCAGUGGGGAAUAUUGGACAAUGGGCGAAAGCCUGAUCCAGCCAUGCCGCGUGUGUGAAGAAGGUCUUCGGAUUGUAAAGCACUUUAAGUUGGGAGGAAGGGUUGUAGAUUAAUACUCUGCAAUUUUGACGUUACCGACAGAAUAAGCACCGGCUAACUCUGUGCCAGCAGCCGCGGUAAUACAGAGGGUGCAAGCGUUAAUCGGAAUUACUGGGCGUAAAGCGCGCGUAGGUGGUUUGUUAAGUUGGAUGUGAAAGCCCCGGGCUCAACCUGGGAACUGCAUCCAAAACUGGCAAGCUAGAGUACGGUAGAGGGUGGUGGAAUUUCCUGUGUAGCGGUGAAAUGCGUAGAUAUAGGAAGGAACACCAGUGGCGAAGGCGACCACCUGGACUGAUACUGACACUGAGGUGCGAAAGCGUGGGGAGCAAACAGGAUUAGAUACCCUGGUAGUCCACGCCGUAAACGAUGUCAACUAGCCGUUGGAAUCCUUGAAC